RNAcentral lists this ribosomal RNA (490 nucleotides) under uncultured bacterium. Its description in RNAcentral is "partial 16S ribosomal RNA". It matches the Rfam family "Bacterial small subunit ribosomal RNA", at positions 30 to 507 of the family's 1533-position model. The record is from RNAcentral.
AUUGAACGCUGGCGGCAGGCCUAACACAUGCAAGUCGAACGGUAACAGGAAACAGCUUGCUGUUUCGCUGACGAGUGGCGGACGGGUGAGUAAUGUCUGGGAAACUGCCUGAUGGAGGGGGAUAACUACUGGAAACGGUAGCUAAUACCGCAUAACGUCGCAAGACCAAAGAGGGGGACCUUCGGGCCUCUUGCCAUCGGAUGUGCCCAGAUGGGAUUAGCUAGUAGGUGGGGUAACGGCUCACCUAGGCGACGAUCCCUAGCUGGUCUGAGAGGAUGACCAGCCACACUGGAACCGAGACACGGUCCAGACUCCUACGGGAGGCAGCAGUGGGGAAUAUUGCACAAUGGGCGCAAGCCUGAUGCAGCCAUGCCGCGUGUAUGAAGAAGGCCUUCGGGUUGUAAAGUACUUUCAGCGGGGAGGAAGGGAGUAAAGUUAAUACCUUUGCUCAUUGACGUUACCCGCAGAAGAAGCACCGGCUAACUCCGUG